UGAGUGCGAGCGGCUACGGCCGCGAAGUGGGUGAUGUCAAGCUUCCAAGAAAAGCCCUAUACCCGUUAAGGCAUGAUGGCCUGUACCCGAAACCGACACAGGUGGGGUGGUAGAGAAUACCGAGGGGCGCGAGGUAACUCUCUCUAAGGAACUCGGCAAAAUGGCCCCGUAACUUCGGGAGAAGGGGUGCCACCGCAAGGUGGUCGCAGUGAAGAGGCCCAGGCGACUGUUUACCAAAAACACAGGUCUCCGCUAAGUCGCAAGACGAUGUAUGGGGGCUGACGCCUGCCCAGUGCCGGAAGGUUAAGGAAGCUGGUCAGCGCAAGCGAAGCUGGCGACUGAAGCCCCGGUGAACGGCGGCCGUAACGAUAACGGUCCUAAGGUAGCGAAAUUCCUUGUCGGGUAAGUUCCGACCCGCACGAAAGGCGUAACGAUCUGGGCGCUGUCUAGGAGAGAGGCUCGGCGAAAUAGAAUUGUCUGUGAGGAUGCGGACUACGUGCACCCGGACAGAAAGACCCUAUGAAGCUUUACUGUAGCUUGGUAUUGUGCCCGGGCUCUGAAUGCGCAGGAUAGGUGGGAGGCUUUGAUCCAUGGCUUGCGGGUCAUGGUGAGCCAACGGUGAGAUACCACUCUUUCAGAGCUAGGGUUCUAACGGUCACCCGUCAUCCGGGGACCGGACAGUAUCAGGUGGGCAGUUUGACUGGGGCGGUCGCCUCCUAAAAGGUAACGGAGGCGCGCAAAGGUUUGCUCAGGCUGGUUGGAAAUCAGCCGACGAGUGCAAAAGCAGAAGCAAGCUUGACUGUGAGACCUACAAGUCGAACAGUGACGAAAGUCGGCUUUAGUGAUCCGACGGUUCUGAGUGGAAGGGCCGUCGCUCAACGGAUAAAAGUUACUCUAAGGAUAACAGGCUGAUCUCCCCCAAGAGUUCACAUCGACGGGGAGGUUUGGCACCUCGAUGUCGGCUCAUCGCAACCUGGGGCUGAAGUCGGUCCCAAGGGUUGGGCUGUUCGCCCAUUAAAGCGGUACGCGAGCUGGGUUCAGAACGUCGUGAGACAGUUCGGUCCAUAUCCGGUGCACGCGCAGGAACAUUGAGAGGAUUUCUCCCUAGUACGAGAGGACCGGGAGGAACGCACCUCUGGUGUGCCAGUUAUCGUGCCAACGGUAAACGCUGGGUAGCCAUGUGCGGAGUGGAUAACCGCUGAAAGCAUCUAAGUGGGAAGCCCACCUCAAGAUGAGUGUUCCCAUGGCAUAAGCCAGUAAGGUCACGGGAAGAACACCCGUUGAUAGGCUCUACGUGGAAGCCGGGUAACCGGUGAAGCGGAGGAGUACUAAUAGACCGAGGGCUU
Molecule: ribosomal RNA, 1346 nt
Filed under: metagenome
Description: bacterial LSU rRNA
Rfam family: Bacterial large subunit ribosomal RNA
Source: RNAcentral